This is a long non-coding RNA of Thalassophryne amazonica, 164 nucleotides long. RefSeq lists it as uncharacterized. Lineage: Eukaryota; Metazoa; Chordata; Actinopteri; Batrachoidiformes; Batrachoididae. The record is from RefSeq and is a predicted model, not a curated record. The transcript has 2 exons.
GGUAAGACUUUAUAUUUAUUGUGUGUGUGAGUGUGAAUGUGUUUGUUUGUCUAUAAGUGGCCCUACGACAGAGUGGCGUCCUGUCCGGGGGUACCCCGCCUCAUGUUGCAUGACCGCUGGGAUAGGCUCCAGCCCCCUGUGACCCUUAAUUGGACUAAGCAGUU